This 497-nucleotide ribosomal RNA is filed under the name uncultured bacterium. Its description in RNAcentral is "partial 16S ribosomal RNA". It matches the Rfam family "Bacterial small subunit ribosomal RNA", at positions 28 to 507 of the family's 1533-position model. The record is from RNAcentral.
GACGAACGCUGGCGGCGUGCCUAGUACAUGCAAGUCGAGCGCUGAAGGUUGGUACUUGUACCAACUGGAUGAGCAGCGCACGGGUGAGUAACGCGUGUGGCAUCUGCCUUUGAGCGGGGGACAACCUGUGGAAACGAAUGCUAAUACCGCAUAAAAACUUUAAACACAAGUUUUAAGUUUGAAAUUUGCAAUUGCAUCACUCAAAGAUGAUCCCGCGUUGUAUUAGCUAGUUGGUGAGGUAAAGACUCACCAAGGCGAUGAUACAUAGCAGACCUGAUAGGGUGGUCGGCCGCCUUGGGACUGAGACACGGCCCAAUCUCCUUGGGGAGCGAGCAGUAGGGCAUCUUCAGCCAUGGGCGAGAGUCUGACCGAGCAACGCCGCGUGAGUGUAGAACGUUGUCGGGUCGUGAAACUCUGUUGGUAGGGUAGAACGUUGGUUAGAGUGGAAAGCUCAUCAAGUGACGGUAACUACCCAGAAAGGAACGGCUAACUACGUG